GUCGCACGAGAAAGGGGCUUCGGUCCUGAGUAAAGUGGCGCACGGGUGAGUAACACGUGAAUGACCUACCUUCGAGUGGGGAAUAACUGGGAGAAAUCUCAGCUAAUACCGCAUAAUACCUACGGGUCAAAGCAGCAAUGCGCUUGAAGAGGAGUUCGCGGCAGAUUAGUUAGUUGGCGGGGUAAUGGCCCACCAAGACGAUGAUCUGUAUCCGGCCUGAGAGGGCGCACGGACACACUGGAACUGAAACACGGUCCAGACUCCUACGGGAGGCAGCAGUGGGGAAUUUUGCGCAAUGGGGGAAACCCUGACGCAGCAACGCCGCGUGGAGGAUGAAGUAUCUUGGUACGUAAACUCCUUUCGAUGGGGAAGAUAAUGACGGUACCCAUAGAAGAAGCCCCGGCUAACUUCGUGCCAGCAGCCGCGGUAAUACGAGGGGGGCAAGCGUUGUUCGGAAUUAUUGGGCGUAAAGGGUGCGUAGGCGGUUUGAUAAGUCUGAUGUGAAAUCUCUGGGCUCAACCCAGAGUCUGCAUUAGAAACUGUCGGGCUUGAGUAUGGGAGAGGUGAGUGGAAUUUCCGGUGUAGCGGUGAAAUGCGUAGAUAUCGGAAGGAACACCUGUGGCGAAAGCGGCUCACUGGACCAUAACUGACGCUGAGGCACGAAAGCUAGGGG
RNAcentral lists this ribosomal RNA (673 nucleotides) under uncultured bacterium. Its description in RNAcentral is "bacterial SSU rRNA". It matches the Rfam family "Bacterial small subunit ribosomal RNA", at positions 61 to 766 of the family's 1533-position model. The record is from RNAcentral.